UGUUAACUUGGAAUCACCGAGAGAAACGAGGCCGUCUUCCUCCUCUAGUCAUGUUUGAAGAUCAAGGAACAUCAUCACAAAAGACUAUUUAGAUUUAGAAAUUUUCAUGUUAGACCAUGUGUGGAAAAUACCAUUGUGUUUAUUUCCUUUUGGUGAAACAUGUUAUGUGCACUUUGUGGAACAUAACUUAUAUUUUGGAUUUGUGUUUAGCACUCUUAGCUUCAUUGUGAAAAAUUGAUGGAUAUAUAUAUUUAUGCAAGUAUUUGGUGGUUGAAUGGAUUUUCU
This 285-nucleotide long non-coding RNA is filed under the name Lotus japonicus. RNAcentral's name for it is "long non-coding RNA (LJAP_LNC000925)". Lineage: Eukaryota; Viridiplantae; Streptophyta; Magnoliopsida; Fabales; Fabaceae. The record is from RNAcentral.